Molecule: small RNA, 181 nt
Filed under: Sphenodon punctatus (tuatara)
Lineage: Eukaryota; Metazoa; Chordata; Lepidosauria; Sphenodontia; Sphenodontidae
Description: TUC338 (ENSSPUG00000014871.1)
Rfam family: TUC338
Source: RNAcentral
UUGACAGCACUGGAGACUAAAGUCCCUCUAUUUAUCCACCAAACAGGUACAGCACGGGUAGCAGCAGUGCAAGAUUCUCCACACUGCCCUGCCAAUGUGCCUCAACCCUGACCUGGAGGGACCCACCUCUAGGGGUGAGAGCGUAGUUCAGUCUCCAUGCUUCUUCAAGUCCUUGGAUUCU